RNAcentral lists this ribosomal RNA (1373 nucleotides) under uncultured sediment archaeon. RNAcentral's name for it is "bacterial SSU rRNA". It matches the Rfam family "Archaeal small subunit ribosomal RNA". The record is from RNAcentral.
UCCGGUUGAUCCUGCCGGACAUGACCGCUAUCGGGGUGGGACUAAGCCAUGCGAGUCGUACGCCCUGGGCAAUGACAGGGCGUGGCGCACGGCUCCGUAAAACGUGGCUAAACUACCCUCAGGACGGGAAUAACCCCGGGAAACUGGGGCUAAUUCCCGAUAGAUGCAGAGGCCUGGAAUGGCUCUGCAUUUAAAGGGAGUUAGGAUCAUGCUUCCUAAUUCCGCCUGAGGAUGUGGCCACGGCCCAUCAGGUAGUUGGUGGGGUAACGGCCCACCAAGCCGAUAACGGGUACGGGCCCUGAGAGGGGGAGCCCGGAGAUGGCCACUGAGACAAGGGGCCAGGCCCUACGGGGCGCAGCAGGCGCGAAACCUCCGCAAUGGGCGAAAGCCCGACGGGGUCACCCCGAGUCCCACCUGCUGAAGGUGGGUUUUCCCUGGUCUAAAAAGCCAGGGGAAUAAGCGGGGGGCAAGCCUGGUGUCAGCCGCCGCGGUAACACCAGCCCCGCGAGUGGUCAUGACGUUUAUUGGGCUUAAAGCGUCCGUAGCCGGCUUGGUAUGUCUUCGGUCAAAUCCCACGGCCUAACCGUGGGGCCGCCGAAGAUACUACUAAGCUAGGGGGUGGGAGAAGCCGGGGGUACUCCGGGGGUAGGGGCAAAAUCCUAUAAUCCCCGGAGGACCACCAGUGGCGAAGGCGCCCGGCUAGAACACGCCCGACGGUGAGGGACGAAAGCUGGGGGAGCGAACCGGAUUAGAUACCCGGGUAGUCCCAGCUGUAAACGAUGCGGGCUAGGUGUCGGGUGGGCUUAGAGCUCACCCGGUGCCGAAGCGAAAGCGCUAAGCCCGCCGCCUGGGGAGUACGGCCGCAAGGCUGAAACUUAAAGGAAUUGGCGGGGGGGCACCACAAGGGGUGAAUGCUGCGGUUUAAUUGGAGUCAACGCCGGGAACCUUACCAGGGGCGACAGCAGGAUGAUGGCCAGGCUGACGACCUUGCCUGACACGCUGAGAGGAGGUGCAUGGCCGUCGCCAGUUCGUGCCGUGAGGUGUCCGGUUAAGUCCGGAAACGAACGAGACCCCCACCUCUAGUUGCUAGUGGGUCUCUGCGGGGACCCACGCAAUACUAGGGGGACUGCCGGCGUUAAGCCGGAGGAAGGAGGGGGCUACGGCAGGUCAGUAUGCCCCGAAACCCCUGGGCUACACGCGGCAUGCAAUGGUGGGGACAGAGGGAUCCAACCCCGAAAGGGGAAGGCAAUCCCUAAACCCCACCUAAGUUGGAAUCGAGGGCUGCAACUCGCCCUCGUGAAUACGAAAUCCCUAGUAACCGCGCGUCACCAUCGCGCGGUGAAUACGUCCCUGCCCCUUGCACACACCGCCCG